GCCUUUUCCCAGAGCUGCGGAGGAGCUCCCAGUCCUGGCUCAUGAGGUCAGGGGGCUGAUGGCCUGGCCCUGCAGAUUCAGAUGAGCCCUGCCCUGGCUGCCUGCUGCUUCACACGGCCUGAUCUUUUGACCAGAAAGGAAUUAAAAAGAAGGUCCCGCAUGAUGGCUGCACCUGUCAGCUGCAAGGAGCUUCCUUUAAGGAUCUUCUGAGUCUUGUGGGUAAACUCCAGGAGUUGGUGAUGGACAGGGAGGUCUGGUGUGCUGCAGUCCAUGGGGUCGCAAAGAGUAGGAUGCGACUGAGCGACUGAACUGAACUGAACUGAGUCUUGUGGAUUUACAGCGAUACUCAGCCGCCUGCGUGGGGACUGAUGCUGGUGGAAGCAGGCUCUCAGGGACACACACCGGCCACACUUCUGGAUGCUCAUGGUGGUUUUAGGAGGGCCCUGGCUGAGCACCUCAUGGAUUCCUGCAGCCUGGAUGAAGACAGGAGACAGAGGACCGAUGCUUCCUGCCUUUCUCACUGACGGGAAUGUUCAGUUGGAGCUCUGCCAGCUCCCCUGGGGGCUGCCUCUGAAACAAUCUUGUUACACCUGGGAUUUUGGUGCCUUUAAUCUGAGAAAAAGUACAUAUCCAUUCAGUAAUCCAAAAGGACUUGAAACUCUUCUUCUCUGAACUAAAGCUAGAGUAUCAUGGGAUUUAAAGAAUCAAGCCCAAGGAGGACGUUCCUCAUCAGUGGGUGGUGUUUCUUCAGACACUGAUUAGAAGAUUCAGGUCUCGUCCAGGUUGUUGGGCCGCCAUCCUUCAAGGACUCUGAUAUCCACCAGGCUGGCAGAGGCGAAAAGGUAAGGUAGAGGGGCCUAGACACCGUGUCCUGAAAGUGGCACCUGGCCACUCUUUUUGCAAGAAGCCGUCUCCUUGGCGGACCUCAGCUGGGACCUCGGUGAUAGGCGACUUCGUUUUUUUUUUUUUUUUUCUGUGCCUCUCGGGAAUGUUGAUGAAUGGCUGUAAAAGUGCUGAGACUUUGGGGCUACAGAUAAAUUUUAGCGAGUGGAUGAACGGCAACCCACUCCAGGAUUCUUGCCAGGAUCAUCCCAUGGACAGAGGAGCCUGGGGGGCUACAGUUCAAAGGGUCACAGAAAACUGGCCACAAAUGAGUGACUGAGCACAAAUUCACGAAUACAGAAUCUACAAAUAGCGAGGACUGACUAAAUGUAUCAUCAUCAAAUGUGAGACUUAGGACCCCCGUGAGCCGGAAUUCUGGAGUAGGUUUCAAGAAUUGUUUUCUGGAAAGAUUUCCAGAAAGCCAGGGGUGGAAGAGUUUCUGUGCAGAGGGUAAAGGACUAAGUAUUUUAGGAUGGGCAGGCCACACCAUCUCUGUGUCAUUGGUGUAACACAAGCAACUGUGAACAGUAUAGAACAAAUGGGCAUGGACGUGCUAAGUAAACCUUUAUUUUUGCAGACUGAAAUGAAUUUCACAUAAUUUUCAUGUCACAAAACUCUAUUCUUCUGAUUUUUAACCCCAGUCAUUUAAAAAUGUAAAAGCCAUUCUUGGCUGAAAAAAACAGGUGGUAGCCAGAUUUGGCCUGAAGGCCAAAGUUUGCCAGCUCCCGCCUUAGACACUGCUAGAAAGGGAAACUUACUAACUAUGAAAAAAGUGAAAUAAUUCAGAACAGGACAAAGGAUAAAGUUUAAAAAUUCACCUAAAAUCC
Molecule: long non-coding RNA, 1709 nt
Organism: Bos mutus (wild yak)
Lineage: Eukaryota; Metazoa; Chordata; Mammalia; Artiodactyla; Bovidae
Source: Ensembl